UACGUAGGUGACAAGCGUUGUCCGGAUUUACUGGCGUAAAGAGCGCGCAGGCGGUCGUUCAAGUCGAGUGUGAAAGCCCCCGGCUCAACUGGGGAGGGUCACUCGAUACUGAUCGACUCGAAGGCAGGAGAGGGAAGUGGAAUUCCCGGUGUAGUGGUGAAAUGCGUAGAUAUCGGGAGGAAACACCAGUGGCGGAAGGCGGACUUCCUGGCCUGUUCUUGACGCUGAGGCGCGAAAGCUAGGGGAGCAAACGGGG
This 256-nucleotide ribosomal RNA is filed under the name uncultured bacterium. RNAcentral's name for it is "partial 16S ribosomal RNA". It matches the Rfam family "Bacterial small subunit ribosomal RNA", at positions 524 to 777 of the family's 1533-position model. The record is from RNAcentral.